GAUGAACGCUGGCGGCGUGCCUAAUACAUGCAAGUCGAGCGAACAGACGAGGAUUUUGUUCCUCUGACGUUAGCCGCGGACGGGGGAGGAACACGUGGAUAACCUACCUAUAAGACUGAGAUAACUUCGAGAAACCGGAGCUAAGACCGGAUAAUAUAUUGAACCGCAUGGUGCAAUAGUGAAAGACGGUUGUUCUGUCACUGAUAGGUGGAUCCGCGCCGGAUUAGCUAGUUGGUAGGGUAAAGGCUUACCAAGGCGACGAGGCGGAGGCGACGUGGGGGGGGGAUCGGCGACACCGGAAUUGGGCCAGGGACCAGACGCCUACGGGAGGGAGCAGUAGGGAAUCUUACGCAAUGGGCGGAAGCCUGACGCAGCAGCGCCGAGUGAGUGAUGAAGGUCUUCGGCUCGUAAAACUCUGUUACUAGGGACGAACAAAUGUGUAAGUAACUAUGCACGUCUUGACGGUACCGGAUCAGAAAGCACCGGCUAACUACGUG
Molecule: ribosomal RNA, 497 nt
Filed under: uncultured bacterium
Lineage: Bacteria
Description: partial 16S ribosomal RNA
Rfam family: Bacterial small subunit ribosomal RNA
Source: RNAcentral